CGGUCAGCCCCGCCCACCGGCCCGCCCCGCGGCCCCGCCCACCUGCGGACUCCCCUAAACUGAAAGUGAAACGGGGUUCAGGUCCAUGGCUCUCCUCCUGAACCUUGAGACCCCAGGCGACUCCUGCCGGUACGUAGGGACGUGGAAGGAUCACGCACCGCCCUCGCUCUGGUUGUAGUAGUCCAGCAGGGUCCUCAGGUUUCCUCGGAAAGUCUGCUCCCAGCCCUUGGCUCUCCGCGUCUCCCUCAGCAAAUACUCCGGCUCCUGCUCCAUCCAAGGCGCCCGCGGCUCAUAUCUCGGAGUCUCCGCGUCGCUGUCGAAGCGCACGAACUGCGUGUCGUCCACGUAGCCGACUUCCAUGUACCGGGGCUCCCCGAGGCCGGGCCGGGACACGAUGGUGUGGCAAAACCGCAGCGAGUGCGAGCCUGGGGGCAGCGCACGGUGAGACCCCGACCUUCCUCCGGGGACCCCGGGCGGGUGCGCGGGCCGGGAGGGGAGCAGGGCGCGGGGCUCGGGACGCGGUGGAGAAGGGCGGGAGGGUCUGGCUGGGCGAUGCGGGGACGCGGCUUCCCCGGGGCCGCCCCCGCCCUCCCCGCAGAGUCGUUUCCCUCCCGACCCCGCACUCACCCGCGCGUGUCCGGGUCGGGGCCAGGGCGGCCGCCAGCAGCAGGAGCAGCGCGCGCGGAGCCAUCGCCCCCAUCUGGGAACCGGGGCGUCUGAGUUCCGCGGGCUGCGUGGACUUUAUAGCCCGUGACCGCGGCGACGCUGAUUGGUUCUCCGGGAUCUCGUCAUCCAAUGGGGGUGAGAACAGGACACUUGUUAUCCAUCAUUGUCUGGGCAGAAGGACCCCACACAGGUCCGGAACUGGAGAAGUGACCUCACUGCCUGGGGACUGAGACUUUGCUGAACCCUGUGCUGCGGGAUGGAGCGCUGUGUGUCAUGGUGUCUCUGAGCCGCCUAAGGACAACUGUCUCCUCAGGUUAGUCAGGAUGUAACCUAAGAGCACGAAGUUUCCAGAUAAAAUACACACAGCACUUAAAAUGAAUGUUCAGGGAAACAGGUGUUAUGGGAGUCCUGGUGAGGAUGUGGGGCUGCCGUGGACACGUUCAUCGGGAGGUGACUGGAGUUUUCACAGCUCUGGUCAAGCACUUUUGACACACUGUGUGUUACAUGUGACUUUCCGUGCUGGAGUCUCUACUCUCCUCUGCUUUCACUUUCUACUUCAGUUAUGUGUGGCUGGGAUUUGAAGACAUCAAGUCAACAUCCACAGAAAGAAGAUGUUUAUAAAUUUAAUUUAGCUCCACACUACUGAAUGGGGAUGAAACCUUGAAUCCCCCGUGUGUACCACUGCCAUGAGAAUUAUCCUCUGCCCAGUGUCUACACUGCACAGGCCUGAGAAACUCAGAAGACAACUUUUAUCAGAUUCAGGGUCCCACAGGCCUGUAACAUUCAUCUCCCUCAUCUCAUGAGCUUAUAAAGUGUGAGAAAAUGUCAGAGGGAGAGUGCCAUGGAUUGUGUAACUUCUACUACUACACUAUUAUCAUUAUUCUGCUUUAUUAUUACAACCACCUGGAGCCACAGGUGAUCGAUCAUCAGGGAGAAACACUAGGAGUCUGAGUGUAAGCACCACACUGUGAAGACAGGAUCCUGAGUGAAAAGGCAAAGUGUCUAUUUACAGAAGACCUCCUGAGUAUCUUGGCUGCAGACAUGGGGGAGGAAGCCAAAAAAGACUACAGGACAGUCCAAAGUUCCUCCGAAUGCCUAUGCCAGUGUCUGAUGAAUUCACGGUUUGGAUUUCUUUAUGAAGGGCUACUCCUGCCGUCACUGCCGUAGCUGCCAAUGCAACGAUUCCCACAAUAACUGCAACCACCAGUCCAGCCAUACGACAUGCUAUUUUUAAUAUUCCUUCAACGAGCUUCUCUACCAGGAUCAUCACAGGAGAACCUUGUCAUGGCCUCAACUUCACUGGUAUCCAGAUUGCUGGCCUUGCUCUAAGAAUAUAUAAACGUUCAAAGGUAUCUGUAUCAGAAGCAGCCAAUAAAAUAUAAUCCACAUAAUGAUAAAUAAUAGACUAAAGAAAUUGUUUAUGAGUCAUUUCCAGUGGUUGAUUUACAAAAUAUUGACACAAAGUUGGGCUACCGGCAGUGGCCCUACUCUAAAUUUGGAUAGCCAAAUCCUGUCAAAUCUUGCCUUUCUACAACCGGCAUAGCCUGUGCCCUGUCCUUAUAUUCUUCUCAAUGCUCUUUCUAGGAAUAUAUCCCAAUUUAAAUAUCAAUUUAUGCACUGUUUCUGAAAUUGUAGGAAUAUUAACUUGAGUUCACCAUGUUGUAACAAAUCUCUUCCAUAAAUUCAUGGCUGCAUCAGCCAUGUAAGGCUUUGAUAUCCCUUCCUAACCUUCUGGCCCUAUACAUUUAAUCCACUCUACACUCUGUUUUACUCCAGAGAAGGUUUUAAUGCCUACAAAUUGAGUGGAGACUUCUUGUAAAGGCCAGUUAGGAUCCCAGGA
Molecule: non-coding RNA, 2506 nt
Organism: Peromyscus maniculatus bairdii (prairie deer mouse)
Lineage: Eukaryota; Metazoa; Chordata; Mammalia; Rodentia; Cricetidae
Source: RefSeq, a predicted model, not a curated record